RNAcentral lists this non-coding RNA (26 nucleotides) under Homo sapiens (human). Lineage: Eukaryota; Metazoa; Chordata; Mammalia; Primates; Hominidae. The record is from RNAcentral.
CCAUACUGAGGGUGCGGGCUGUUGGU